UGGUAAUUCUUCUUUCUAGGAGGAAAAGUUCAACUUAUUAUUUAUUUUGUAGGAUUUUUAAUGCCAAUUAAAGAAUCAAGAAUGCAUUAGUUAACGGAUGACAAAUGUUUACCAAUUUUAGCACCUAAUAUUGCUCUUGGAUAGAAAGGCUGGCUGUGCCCAUCUUGUUGUUCGUAGCAAAUAUUGCAAGUCAUCCAUUGAGACAAUGAGCUAGUCAAGCUACUGGAUUUUGAUUUCUAAACUCAAGACUCCAUUUUCAUAUCAGAAAGAAGUAUUCCUGUUGAGUAUUGGCCCCCGGCUCCUCCCCACAGAAGAGAGAGAGAGAGAGAGAGA
RNAcentral lists this unclassified non-coding RNA (333 nucleotides) under Hevea brasiliensis (rubber tree). The record is from RNAcentral. Lineage: Eukaryota; Viridiplantae; Streptophyta; Magnoliopsida; Malpighiales; Euphorbiaceae.